GUAUGCUAUAAGUACAUAUACUAAAAUUUGGAACGAUACAGAGAAGAUUAGGGUGACCCAUGCGCGAGGAAGAUACGCAAAAUCGUGAAUCGUUCCACGUUUUU
Small nuclear RNA from Vanessa atalanta (red admiral), 104 nucleotides. The record is from RefSeq and is a predicted model, not a curated record. Lineage: Eukaryota; Metazoa; Arthropoda; Insecta; Lepidoptera; Nymphalidae.